ACGAACGCUGGCGGCGUGCCUAACACAUGCAAGUCGAGCGGGAAGCUUUAGAUUGAGACUUCGGUUGAUUUUUAAAGUGGAGAGCGGCGGACGGGUGAGUAACGCGUGAGUAACCUGCCUUCAAGAGGGGGAUAACACAGAGAAAUUUGUGCUAAUACCGCAUGACACCGUAGUGUCGCAUGACACAUCGGUCAAAGAUUUAUCGCUUGAAGAUGGACUCGCGUCUGAUUAGCUAGUUGGUGGGGUAACGGCCCACCAAGGCGACGAUCAGUAGCCGGUCUGAGAGGAUGAACGGCCACAUUGGGACUGAGACACGGCCCAAACUCCUACGGGAGGCAGCAGUGGGGAAUCUUCCGCAAUGGGCGCAAGCCUGACGGAGCAACGCCGCGUGAGUGAAGAAGGUUUUCGGAUCGUAAAGCUCUGUUGAGAGGGACGAGAGAUAUAAUCAGGAAAUGGGUUAUAGAGGACGGUACCUUUCGAGGAAGCCACGGCUAACUACGUG
Molecule: ribosomal RNA, 502 nt
Filed under: uncultured bacterium
Lineage: Bacteria
Description: bacterial SSU rRNA
Rfam family: Bacterial small subunit ribosomal RNA
Source: RNAcentral